GGGGAAUAUUGGACAAUGGGCGAAAGCCUGAUCCAGCAAUGCCGCAUGAGUGAGGAAGGCCUUAGGGUUGUAAAGCUCUUUCGGCGGGGACGAUGAUGACGGUACCCGCAGAAGAAGCCCCGGCUAACUUCGUGCCAGCAGCCGCGGUAAUACGAAGGGGGCGAGCGUUGUUCGGAUUUACUGGGCGUAAAGGGCGCGUAGGCGGCUAUCUUUGUCAGGCGUGAAAGCCCCGGGCUUAACCUGGGAACUGCGCUUGAAACGGGAUGGCUAGAGAUCGGGAGAGGAGAGUGGAAUUCCCAGUGUAGAGGUGAAAUUCGUAGAUAUUGGGAAGAACACCGGUGGCGAAGGCGGCUCUCUGGACCGACACUGACGCUGAGGCGCGAAAGCGUGGGGAGCAAAC
Molecule: ribosomal RNA, 400 nt
Filed under: uncultured bacterium
Lineage: Bacteria
Description: bacterial SSU rRNA
Rfam family: Bacterial small subunit ribosomal RNA
Source: RNAcentral